RNAcentral lists this long non-coding RNA (1271 nucleotides) under Salmo salar (Atlantic salmon). RNAcentral's name for it is "lncRNA (ENSSSAG00000106194.1)". Lineage: Eukaryota; Metazoa; Chordata; Actinopteri; Salmoniformes; Salmonidae. The record is from RNAcentral.
GUUUUUGUUGUGCACCUGUUUCUUGUUUGGGUUGAUUAGUGUGGGUAUUUAUUUUAUUUCUACCCACUUUGUGUCGUGCGGGUUUAAUUUCGUUUCCCUGUUGUGUUUGGGAAACGUUGUUUUUGUUCAUAAUUUUUUCGUUCAGGUUAUGUCAUUGGGAUUUCGUUCUUUUGAUCAUUGUUGGACUAUGUAUUUUUAGUCCGGUACCUGUAUGGUUUUUUGAUGGACGUUAUUAAACUCUGGUUAUUGGAGUUAUCUUCUCUCCUGCGCCUGACUCCUACACCCAUCUCUCGUAGAGAGACAUUACAACCCUAUCCUCCUAAACAGGAUGGCCGUGUGCACAGUGGCGGCCAGAGGGGAGAAGCUCUCCACCAUGUUGAAGGCCCCUUCCUCUCAAAUCCCUUUCUCCCGGGCUGCUGCUUUUGACUCUGUGCGGUCGAUCCUUGGGAGAAUCAGUCAGUCCUUCUCCACGCACUGCCUUUUUUAAUGAGCUCUGUCUGUGCCUUUGUGGCGGACGAGGUGCAGCCUGCUGCAGCCACCCUACCAGUCCCCCCUGUCCUCGCGGUGGACGUCUCCGCCACACUACCAGCUGACAUCCAAGCAGGUGAGUAGCACUGAUAGAGACCCGGCUUCUUCCCACCUGGAGGUUGUGGACAUUCCCCCUAAAACAGAGGCAUACCCAGCUUCUUCCCACUUGGAGGUUGUGGACAUUGCCCCUAACAUAGAGGCAGAACCCGUCUCUUCCUACCUGGAGGUUGUGGUAAUCCCCCCCCCUAACACAGAGGCAGACAUGGCUUGUUCGCACCUAAAGGUUGUGGACAUUGCCCCUAACACAGAGGCAGACCCGGCUUUUUCCUACCUGGAGGUUGUGGACAUCACCCCUAACACAGAGGCAGAGCCCAUCUCUUCCCUCUUGGAGGUUGUGGACGUCACACCUGAAGAAAAGACUCUCACGAUGGCUGUCUUCGCCACUCUGCCAGCUGACAUCCAAGCAGGAUGUGAUCCUGGAUUUUCCAUGCAGAGCGAGGAAAGGGGCAGUCCGGCUAUUUUUUAUUUUUAUUUUUUGCAGGCUUUGGAGGGCAGUGUGCUGCUGCUCCUGCCACAAGGAAGAGGAGGAUCAAUAUUAAUUAUUCAUCAGACUUUCAGAAGUGGAAAGUCCAUAGACCAUUCAAUUAUUUGCAUUAUAAAUGGCUUCAAUUCUGCUUUUCUUCUGUUUACUACUUAAUUCAUUUCAGAAAAUGUCUAUAAACUUUUACUUUGCAAGUGUGGAG